Molecule: long non-coding RNA, 399 nt
Filed under: Marmota monax (woodchuck)
Lineage: Eukaryota; Metazoa; Chordata; Mammalia; Rodentia; Sciuridae
Source: RNAcentral
GUAACGGGCGGCAGAAGAGCGUGUCUGCGCAGGCGCGAGGUAGCUCACUGUAUGCCUGUGGCCGCCAUGACACUUUACGCUGCAGCUUGCAUCUGAGAUAUAUUCUUUCCUCAGUCCGCAUCCUAUCCUUCCGGGCCGGAGCCAUCCAGGUAUGGGCCGAGGGAGGCGGAAGGCUGGCUUCCUGUCGUCAGCCCCCGCAUCCUAUCCGUCCCGCCCCGCGCCAUCCAGGUAUGGGCCACGGGAGGCGGAAGGCUGGAUGACUCUGGUCCGCCGUCCUUGGGCCCCCUUCUGCCGGGCGGCCCAGAAUCCCGUAGGCUUCGCCGGCACCGCGCUCGUUCCGGUGACCGCAUCGGGGACUCCGGGCUGCGCUAGCAGCUGGCGCGUCUCCUGCCGGCCGGA